RNAcentral lists this ribosomal RNA (208 nucleotides) under uncultured bacterium. RNAcentral describes it as "partial 16S ribosomal RNA". It matches the Rfam family "Bacterial small subunit ribosomal RNA", at positions 568 to 774 of the family's 1533-position model. The record is from RNAcentral.
CUAGUAGGCGGCUUAGCAAGUCGGGUGUGAAAACUUCAGGCUCAACCUGGAGCGGCCAUCCGAUACUGCUAUGGCUAGAGUCCGGUAGGGGACCACGGAAUUCCUGGUGUAGCGGUGAAAUGCGCAGAUAUCAGGAGGAACACCGAUGGCGAAGGCAGUGGUCUGGGCCGGAACUGACGCUGAAUAGCGAAAGCGUGGGUGGCGAACA